Long non-coding RNA from Polypterus senegalus (gray bichir), 653 nucleotides. RefSeq lists it as uncharacterized. The transcript has 2 exons. NCBI's taxonomy places the organism in Eukaryota, Metazoa, Chordata, Cladistia, Polypteriformes, Polypteridae. The record is from RefSeq and is a predicted model, not a curated record.
AACAGAGCAACACUGAGCGCUUCACUGGCUCCUCUUAAAGGAGACUCGCUCUUUUUUUUCCUAAAUAGCUACACAGACAGUUUUCUAACUAAGCAUUGCCUGAGUAAAUUUGAACAUUAUCAAUAAGAAUCCACACAGCCUCAGCAAAAAGGAAGGCAAAUGCCUUAGCAUAGGCUUGAUGGAGUGAUGCUUGUUUGCAGAAGAACAAAAUGCCUCAUAGCCAGGGCUGGAAGCAGAUUUUAUGAUGCCCUAGGAGAAGCAGAAAAUGUCUCACCGAAACCACAGAGGCUUGGAGGCAGUUGUUUUAUAUCUAUUGCAUGGAAGAGCUGCCUCCUUCAUGUUUCAAGCACAAUGUUACACGAUAUUUUUUCGUAGAGCAGUCAUGGUUCCUCCUUGGAGUUUCUAUCAUAAUUUUAAACAGAUGUUAGAUCUUAGAGUGGGUGUGUGGGGCUUAGAGCAUGAUAUUACACAGAUAUUGGUUCAAAAACCAAAGACUGAGGGGGGGACUGACUAGAACUAAAACUGGUAAACACAGCAAAAAUGAAAAAAGUUUACAGUGUUUCUUCCUUCUAUGUACGCGUUCUUCCAAAGCCUAGUUACAUUAAUGCUAAUAAACUGAUUAGUUUAUUUCAAAUAAAUGGUUAUUAAAUUAU